RNAcentral lists this unclassified non-coding RNA (339 nucleotides) under soil metagenome. Its description in RNAcentral is "partial contains 5.8S ribosomal RNA, internal transcribed spacer 2, and large subunit ribosomal RNA". The stretch from base 1 to 120 matches the Rfam family "5.8S ribosomal RNA", at positions 35 to 154 of the family's 154-position model. The record is from RNAcentral.
GAUGAAGAACGUAGUGAAAUGCGAUAAGUAAUGCGAAUUGCAGAAUUCCGUGAGUCAUCGAAUCUUUGAACGCACAUUGCGCCCUUUGGCAUUCCGAAGGGCAUGCCUGUUCGAGCGUCAUUUAUCAACCCUCAAGCCCGGCUUGCGGUUGGGUCCGGCCGUGGGCGACCACAGCGGACCCGAAAGGUAAUGGCGGUGCCCGUGGGGCCCUGGACGCAGCGAGCUUCUCGGCACGCGUCCCGGCGGUCCCCGGCGCCGUCUCCACCAAUCCACCACGCAGAUUGACCUCGGAUCAGGUAGGGAUACCCGCUGAACUUAAGCAUAUCAAUAAGCGGAGGA